UUAAAUUGAAGAGUUUGAUCAUGGCUCAGAUUGAACGCUGGCGGCAGGCCUAACACAUGCAAGUCGAACGGUAACAGGAAGCAGCUUGCUGCUUCGCUGACGAGUGGCGGACGGGUGAGUAAUGUCUGGGAAACUGCCUGAUGGAGGGGGAUA
Molecule: ribosomal RNA, 153 nt
Filed under: Escherichia coli
Lineage: Bacteria; Pseudomonadati; Pseudomonadota; Gammaproteobacteria; Enterobacterales; Enterobacteriaceae
Also listed under: 10 other names
Description: partial 16S ribosomal RNA
Rfam family: Bacterial small subunit ribosomal RNA
Source: RNAcentral